AGGAAUGGUGGUCCAAGAGGGGAAUGGCUGGGGGAGACAGAACGUGAAAGGGUGAGAAUUGUCACUGAUCCCACUCUCCAUCCAUCCACGAACAAUUUGCCUCACCCUCUCCCUCUCAACUUCCCCUAGAUCAGGAGAUGGUUCACGGCUGGAGUUCUCAUGGUCUCUAUGAUCAUUCUGUGGUCCAAUUGGAUCAUGAGACCAAGUACCAUACUCAUUCUCACUCUCACUAGCAUCCACCAAGCUACCUUGGUUAUCAGUUUCCCGGCUUUCCGACAUAUUAGCACUAGAAACAUUAGUAUUAGAAUCCAUGCUCCUCCGUUGUGUCAACCUUUCCCUCACCCUUUCUCGUGCACGAUUCAACACAUGCUCAUCCUCCAAUUCUCGCCACAUCUGCAAAAUAUUAGAAGCCCUCGUGUUUAUUCUCUCAGAAUCACCACCCUGACGCCUUGAGGUAGGAGAUUGUGAUUCCCUCAAGAACGAGGAAUCAAGCAUUGAAACAGUGUGUAAACCAGCAAGUGCCAUCAGCUCAGACUCACGGUUCCUCCUCUCAAUAGUAGUAAUCAUCUCCUGAGCCUGUCUUGCUGCCCACCUGCUCAAUAUCCUUGAGUGGCGCCUCCUGGCAGCAGAUGACUCUGCCAGGUCAUCACCUUCAAGGUCAGACCUCCUCCUCCUCCUUACAAGCUGAUCAGACUCUUCAUCCUCAUCCUCAGUAUUACGCACUGAACUACACGAAGCAUACGACAUACACUCAUCCAAGUGACCACACAUCAACUCCUCCAGUCCCCUCUCAAACUCCGAACGCACAUCAUCCCCCGUACUCUCCGGCUUCUGCUGCAUUUGCUGCUGAACAUCUUCCAUCUUCAAAUCCCACUUUAUCCCAACCUUAACACCCUUAACACAUUUCCCCACAAAAAAACUAUCCAAUUCCUAAAUGCAAAACAUCACACCAUUAUCUCCCACAAUUUCACCUCCAUUAACAAACAAAACUAGCCCUAAACUCAAUUCCAUAACAAAUCUCCUCAAAUUACACUCCUUUUUCAAUACAACCAAAUCACUGAUUAAAU
RNAcentral lists this unclassified non-coding RNA (1067 nucleotides) under Hevea brasiliensis (rubber tree). The record is from RNAcentral. Lineage: Eukaryota; Viridiplantae; Streptophyta; Magnoliopsida; Malpighiales; Euphorbiaceae.